This 3773-nucleotide long non-coding RNA is filed under the name Olea europaea subsp. europaea. The record is from RNAcentral. Lineage: Eukaryota; Viridiplantae; Streptophyta; Magnoliopsida; Lamiales; Oleaceae.
AGAGAACAAUGAGUAAGGGCCAUGUUAUGUAUGUGGAAGAACCAACCAUAUUGCUCGAGAUUGCUACUACAAAAAGACUAAGGAGUACAAGCUUAAGGACAAAUUUCAAAAGGAUCAAGUAAACAUGUUGAAGGAUGGUGGACAUUCCAUUAGGUGUGAAUCAUCAACAUUUUUGUCAAUUUUACUUAUAAUAGUAAUGAAUGGUGAUUAGAUUCUGGAGCAAAUAUUCAUGUUUUUUUUUAUAAGAAUUUGUUUAAAUCUUAUCAGACUUCAAGUGGAGGAAGCAUAACUUUGGGAAAUGACUCCAUCGCUCUUGUAUUGGGAUUUGGAAGUGUUGAGCUUAAGAUGACCUCUGGGAAAAGUUUAAUUUUAGAUCAAGUUCGCCAUAUUCCAGAAGUUAGAAGAAAUUUAUUUGGUAGAUCACUUUUAGUUCAACAAGGUUUUAAACUUGUAAUGGAGUCAAAUAAGAUUGUUAUAACAAAAAAUAAUAUUUUUGUUGGGAAAAGUUAUAUUAGUGAUGGAUUGUUUAAAUUGGAUAUUAUUGAAAAUCUUUAUCAUGAUUCUUCCAUGGUUCUUACUAAGGAAGUUAGUCAAUUGUGGCAUAAACGAUUAGGUCCUGCUGGUAAUAUGAAGAUCAAGAAACUUAUGGAUCUAAACUUGAUUCCAAAAUCUCAAAUUGGUAAUGAUAAGUGUGAAGUUUGUGUACAAGCCAAACAAAGUAAGAGACCUUUUAAAUCUGUUAGAAGGGACACAAACCUUUUAGAAUUGAUUCAUAGUGAUGUUUGUGAUUCUAAUAGAUUGACAACAAGAGUCGGUAAUAAAUAUUUUGUAACAUAUAUAGAUGACUAUUCUAAGUAUUGCUAUAUUUAUUUGUUGAAAGAGAAGGAUGAAAUCUAUGAUAAGUUCAAAAUCUAUAAAGCGGAGGUCGAAAAUCUAUUAGAACAUAAGAUCAAAAUUUUGAGGUCCGAUAGAGGAGGAGAAUAUACUAGGAAUAAUCUUAAGGAUUAUUGUGAGGAUAAUGGUAUAAUACAAGAGUGACACCUCCUUAUUCACUACAAUCCAAUGGUACUGCAGAAAGGAAAAAUCGAACUUUAAUGGAUAUGGUAAAUGCUAUGCUCAUAAGCUUCGAAGCACCUGAAGACUUAUGGGGUAAAGUUGUCCUAACUUCUUGUUACAUAUUGAAUCCAGUAACUGUUAAAGACAAUAUUAAAAUUUCAUAUGAGCUAUGGAAAAAGAGAUCUCCUAUGUUAGAUUUCUAUAAGUGUGGGGGUGCUUGGCAAAGGUAAUUAUACCUAAUCCUACAAGAAAGAAAAUAGGACCAAAAACUAUAGAUGUUGUUUUCAUAGGAUAUGCUCAAAAUAGCAGUGCAAAUAGGGUCUUGAUUAUAAAUUCUGAAGUAAGUGACAUUAAAAAUAAUACUAGCAUUGAAGCUAGAGAUGCUACUUAUUUUGAAGAUGUUUUCCCAUUUAACACUACAAUUUCAAGUGAACCCUCGACUUCUAACAAAAUGGUUUUAAAUAAUACUCCAUCUAGUUCAUCUUUAGAAGAUAAAGUUGAACAUGAACUUAGGAGGAGUAAAAGGACUAUGAGAGAGAAAUCAUUUCGAGAAGAAUUCUUUACAUAUUUAGUUGAAGGUGAACAAGAAACAUAUAAAGAUGCUAUGGUCUCUACUGAUACACCUUUUUGGAAAGAAGCCAUCAAUGAUGAGUCCGAGUCAAUUAUACAAAAUAGUAAUUGGGUCUUAUGUGAUUUACCUCAAGGAAGUAAGACAAUUGGAUGUGAGUGAGUAUUUAAAAAGUUGAAAUCUGAUGGAAGUAUAGAUAAAUAUAAAGCUAGGUUAGUAGUUAAAGGAUUCACCCAAAAAGGAGUUGAUUAUUUUGAUAUGUAUUCUCCUGUUGCUAGAAUAACUACUAUUAGAAUAAGGAAUUAAUGCAGAGAUUUUCUCAAAGUAACCUUCAGCACUGCAAUAGACUGAGUAACCAAGCAGUGCAUUCCCUGGCGCGACACGCAUGGUCCCUCGAAGACAUUUUCCUCUCUGGUAGCAUAGUGUUCCUUUAUUCAUUGAAAAUGUAAUUUUCAUUGAUAAACACUAUUGUACCCUUUCUUAAGGCUUAUUGCCUUUAUGAAUGAAAUAUUUUCCCAUCAAAAAAAGAAAAAAAAGAAUGGUGAUUUAAAUGAAGAAAUAUAUAUGGAACAACUAGAAGGAUUUAAAGUCAAAGGACAAGAACAUAGAGUAUGUAAAUUAAUGAAGUAAUUAUAUGGACUAAAGUAAGCUCCUAAUUAGUGGCAUGAGAAGUUCAAUAGAGUUAUACUAAGUUAUGGAUUUAAAAAUAAUAUACAUGACAAGUGUGUAUAUUGUAAAGAAGAUAACAAUGAGCAUGUGAUACUUUUUUUAUAUGUAGAUGACAUUAAUAUUUGGGACAAAUUUAAGAUUUGUUAAUGAAGUGAAGAGUUAUUUGUAUAAGAAUUUUGAAAUGAAAGAUUCAGAAGAAGCUCAUAUAAUUUUGGGAAUGAAGUUAAGGAAACUUUCUGAAGGAAUUUCACUAAAUUAAUCUAAUGCUAUUAAAAAGAUGUUGGAAAAGUUUGAACGUUAUGUCAAUAAACAAGUUUCCACUCCAUAUAAUUCAAAUGUACACUUGAAGAAGAAUUUUGGUGAACUAGUUUCUCAAUUUGAGUAUUCUCAAAUUAUUGGAUUUUUAUUGUACAUAGCAAACAUGACAAGACUUGGUAUAACCUUUGCUAUUGGGAGACUUAGUAGAUAUACUAACAAUCCAAGUAAAGAACAUUGAAACGCUCUGGAGAAAGUACUUAAAUAUCUCCGAAGUAUAUUAGAUUGUUCUAUAAACUAUAAAAACUUUCCAAAUGUUAUUGAAUGAUAUAACGACGCAAAUUGGAUAACUGAUAAUGUAGAUAUUAAGUCUACCAUUGGAUGUAUAUUUAUGCAAGGUGGUGGGGGCCAUAUCUUGGGGUUCAACAAGACAAACGAUUAUUUCUAGGAGUACUUUAGAGUCAGAGUUAAUAGCAUUAGAUACAACAUGUACUAAUAUGGAGUGGCUUAGAGAUUUAUUAUUAGAUAUACCAUUAAUAAAUUAGCCAAUCCCAGCUAUUUCAAUACAUUGUGACUGUAAAGCAGUCGUAGAGCCUGUAAAUUAAUCUCACUUAAAUAAGAAGAUGAAUAAGCUUAUUCAAGCAAGACUUAAGUCAGUUAAGCCUUACUUAAGAGAAAUGUGAUUUCUCUCAAUUUCAUGAGAUCUGAAAAGAAUUUAUCAGAUAAUUUAACCAACGCUUUACCCAAAAAGGGUGUUAAUGAAUCAUCGAAAGGGAGGGGCUUAAGCCCAUAAGAGAGUCAUCUUCGAGAGCAACCCAACCUCUGUGGUAGGAACAACCCGCCCUACUUGACUCGUAAUAGCACUAUAUUUUGUGAUCAUCCCUAUGGUGAUAGUGCUAUGCUUAUGAUGUUAGGAAGGGUUUAACCCUGAAUGAGUGUCGAAGCGAGAAUUCUCGCAAGGUUUAGGUCACAUGCACCCUUGGAGGACUCACCUAUGUAAGAGUUGUCAUGAGGUUGUGACUAUAGGAUUGGGCUAUUCCCUAGAGACUCUUACUAGAAUCAAGAUAAGAGGGCAUGGCCAUUAAUAGCACUACCCGAUAUAAAAUUGAGCCUAAAUUGAUACCAUGUGUGGAGCAAUUGAAGUUUGGUUAAAGGGACAUAAUUCAAGCCUUAGUCCAUUAUGGCUCCCUCAAAUGAAAAUUGUUAUUACUAAGUGAGGUUCAAG